UACGUAGGUGGCAAGCGUUGUCCGGAAUUAUUGGGCGUAAAGCGCGCGCAGGUGGUUUCUUAAGUCUGAUGUGAAAGCCCCCGGCUCAACCGGGGAGGGUCAUUGGAAACUGGGAAACUUGAGUGCAGAAGAGGAUAGUGGAAUUCCAAGUGUAGCGGUGAAAUGCGUAGAGAUUUGGAGGAACACCAGUGGCGAAGGCGACUGUCUGGUCUGUAACUGACACUGAGGCGCGAAAAGCGUGGGGAGCAAACAGGG
RNAcentral lists this ribosomal RNA (255 nucleotides) under uncultured bacterium. Its description in RNAcentral is "partial 16S ribosomal RNA". It matches the Rfam family "Bacterial small subunit ribosomal RNA", at positions 524 to 777 of the family's 1533-position model. The record is from RNAcentral.